Long non-coding RNA from Juglans microcarpa x Juglans regia, 86 nucleotides. RefSeq lists it as uncharacterized. Lineage: Eukaryota; Viridiplantae; Streptophyta; Magnoliopsida; Fagales; Juglandaceae. The record is from RefSeq and is a predicted model, not a curated record. The transcript has 3 exons.
AUCAAUUAGCACCCGUGUGUUGUUUUUAACACUCAUCAUCAGAACAGAGAGUGGCCCAGUGAUGAAUUCCUCUUCCUCAUUCUUCC